AUGAAGAACGUAGUGAAAUGCGAUACGUAGUGUGAAUUGCAGAAUUCAGUGAAUCAUCGAAUCUUUGAACGCACAUUGCACCUCUCGGUAUUCCGGGAGGUAUGCCUGUUCGAGCGUCAUUUGUACCCUCAAGCUCUGCUUGGUGUUGGGUGUUUGUUCCGCCUCUGUGUGUGAACUCGCCUCAAAACAAUUGGCAGCCGGCGUACUUGUUUCGGAGCGCAGCACAUUUUGCGAUCCAGAUCAACGUACAGCGGCAUCCAAGAAGCCUUAUUUAACGCUCUUGACCUCGGAUCAGGUAGGGAUACCCGCUGAACUUAAGCAUAUCAAUAAGCGGAGGA
This 338-nucleotide unclassified non-coding RNA is filed under the name soil metagenome. Its description in RNAcentral is "partial contains 5.8S ribosomal RNA, internal transcribed spacer 2, and large subunit ribosomal RNA". The stretch from base 1 to 119 matches the Rfam family "5.8S ribosomal RNA", at positions 36 to 154 of the family's 154-position model. The record is from RNAcentral.